GCAGAGUGAGGUGCUGCAGAGGAGAGAGGGGGAAAGGAUCAUCCUUGGAUGUUGAUGUGAUGGCACUGGGGUGGGGCUGAGCCUGCCUAUGGAGGGCAGGAGGUGGAACACUGCAGUGCCUGCUGGCCUCCUUGCUGGGAAGCAGUGCCAUGGGCUGGUGGCUGGAGUUGGCAGAGGUGUGACUGGCUGGCUGUGUGCUGUGGUGUCUGUGGUAGAGGCAGGAGAGGCUUUGUGCCCAGUGGGCCUGGCAGCCUCCUGCUGUCACAGUCUGCUGUCCUUCCGCACAAGGCGUGGCUGUGCUGCAGCUGUCUCGAUGCUUUGUGCCCUUGGGGAAUGCCUUCUGGCAGGUGACUUUGCAGCCACCUCUGCGUCUUUACCCGCGGCUGCUCAUCCUGAGGUUGCCCUGGCAAAGGGGCAGCACUCAGCACCUUCAGCAUCUCCCAGCCCAUGCCGUGGGGCUGUUGUCACAGCAAUGCAUGGAGAAUGGAGCAGCAUUUUUCCUUGUGUUGCUGCUGCAGUGAAACAGCUGCUGGGGGCUCUGGCAUGUUCUGUCCUUCAUUCUCCCUGUUGGCAGCAGAGCCAGCUGGCCUUAGCCUGCUGCUGCCCCAGGGCAGUCUUGGCCUGGUGUGGCCUCGGCUCCUGCUAUCCUGCACACUUGGUGGAAGAGGACCUGAGGCAAAGGAUCUGAGUGGUCUUACAUAGGGGAAUCUCUCUGCUCCCUCCAUCAGAGAGGAGUGAUGGGCACUGAUGCCUCCUCACCAUACCCCACCAGGGCAGGGGGUGAUGGGGAGGGUUGUGCUUGCACUGGUGCACCAAGAGAUGGCCUAGCCUGGGCUGAAGGUGGGUGGUGGGUCACAGUGCUCAGCUCUUGCCCCGCUGCUUUGAGCCCCUUCCCCGAAGCCCAGCUGCAGCAAAGCAGUGCUGGGCGCUGGAGUCGCUGAGCCUCCGGCGUCAUUUACAUAAGGCUCAGCAGCGGCGGCAGCGCAGCGGCACCACAGACCCGCUCCGGAGCAGCCUCCCUUCCUCUGCCUCUUGCCAUGGCGCUGGGCUUCGUGCUCCUGCUCCUGGUGGGGAUGGCGAGCACAGCUUCCAGGGCUCAGCCCGUGCUGAUCCAGCCACCUGCUGUGUUGGUACUGGCGGGGCAGACCGCUCGGCUCUCCUGCAUCCUCAGCGCCCCCUACAAUGUCAGUCAGUUUGGCAUCUCUUGGUACCAGCGGCGCCCGGGGCACCCCCUGAGAUACCUGCUCUACUACAACACUGAGCAAGACAAGCACAAGGCUGCCAAGGUUCCUGACCGCUUCUCCGCUACCAAAGACCUUGCCAGCAAUGCCUGCCUCCUCCUCAUCGCCCCUGCCCACCACGAGGACCACGCCAGCUACUACUGCUCCCUGCCCCUGGCCUUCAACUGGGCUUAGGAACAGGGCACAAAAGCUUUCUGUGUUCUCCCUUGCAACCCUGAUGCAAAGCCCUCGACAGGGAGAACAGCUGCCCCAGGAGGAUCAGAGAAACACUGCCUUGCAUGCUUGAGCAAGCCCAGCAGCGCUGUGUGGUGCUGCUGAUGUGCAGCAGCCUCCUCUUCCACUCCGAGCAUGCCCUCUGGAGCAUUAGGCAGCCUGACGCAGUGUGAGGCCUGUCCAAGCUCAGCCCAGGAACACACAGGAGUCUCCUACUGCACUGGGAAGGUGGAGAGGUCUGCUGUGGCCUGCUCUCCUGUGCUCUUCCAGCACUUGGCACAAUGUGGGCUUGGUCUGAGUUUGGGUUUCUGUGCAGUUUGGCUCACUCAGUAAUAAAGUUUAAUCCUUA
Molecule: non-coding RNA, 1803 nt
Organism: Pogoniulus pusillus (Red-fronted tinkerbird)
Lineage: Eukaryota; Metazoa; Chordata; Aves; Piciformes; Lybiidae
Source: the annotation of a RefSeq genome assembly